This is a long non-coding RNA of Cyprinus carpio (common carp), 3032 nucleotides long. RefSeq lists it as uncharacterized. The transcript is spliced from 2 exons. Lineage: Eukaryota; Metazoa; Chordata; Actinopteri; Cypriniformes; Cyprinidae. The record is from RefSeq and is a predicted model, not a curated record.
AUUUGUCUGCGUUAUUUUUUUUUUAUUAUUAUUAUUUAUAGUGCCUUAUAUUGAGUAAGAAGGUGAAAAGAUUUUCUAAAACCUGAUCAAAUCAGAUUAUAGCUAUUAACACAUGUAAAUUUAAGUCACACCUCAUAUAGGAACCUCAAUUCCCUGAAUUUGAGCAGCCAAAGAGUUAGUGAAAGACCAAAGAAACAUUUAUAAUUUUUAAUGUUCAUUGGUGCAGUUUUUUUUUCAACAUGAAAUGUCAGUAUCUCUGUACAUUUGUUUGUGUGUGUGUGUGUUCAAAAAGUGACUGUGCACAUGAAGCAGUUUAGGCUAUUUCACAGACUGUGGAUAGUGACUGUGAAUUCAAAGAUGGUAGUGUCAGGUCAACUUCCAUGCUCCAAGAUCUGGAGUGGUUUGAGCUAUGGACGUAUGUGCUAUUCUAUACCCCUUCACCUACACCUACACCUAUGCCCAAUGCGUAAUUUGAGCCGGAUCCUGUUCUGAAAAAUGUCAGAUUUUGGAUUUUUGCAUUCCGGUAAUUGUUUUUAAGGGUCCGGCAUUAGAUUGUGACAGUACAUGCGUGCAUAUGAGAACGAGCGCAGCUUUAUAUAUUUGGAGGUUAUGUAUCAGGCCCGGUUCUUGAUUUUUAUAGAAGGGUGGGCUGGCAGAUAUCCUGGGUGGGCAUAUUUAGAUGUCAUAUUACAUAUAGUCUAUAAGAUAUGUAUACUGUAGAUAUUGCUAUAUUAACUAUAUAAACCAUAUUACAGUAUAUGUACACUUUAAAGUGUAGCCUAGAAAAAUAGCAUGCACUUUCACAGCAAAAUAAACUUUUUUUUUCUUUAUUGAAUAGUAAAAAAUAAAAUAAAAUUGGUCUCUUUCUCUGGAUCAUUGUUUCUACACUGGUGACUCUUUUCAACUACUUUUUCAUUUGUAGAAAACAAGGCCGUAAUCCUGUCUAGAACAAUGGAGGGGCCAAUUGUUUUGAGGAAAAUGGGGGCGUAUUACAGAAAGAUCCUAACUUUAAAAUCUUAUCUGUUUGGCAACUAUUUGAAAGCUAACGGAAAAACUGCUUGCGCUGUCCAACAAUACGCCCCCAGCAUUUAACUUAAAAGUUAAGAAUAUUUUGUAUUCCUCAAAAACAUUUAAAAAAUAUACUUAUCUUUAUUCUUAAGAUUGUUCUUAAAUACAAAACUUGAGAAGAAUUCAAAUUCUUGAAAAUAAUCAUCUUAAAAAUCAUCUUAAAUUUAGGACAGCCCCAGACUUGUCUUAAAUCCCAAACAGUUAGAAUUAUUUAAAGAAUUUAUUGGGUUAUUUCAAAUUAAUUGUUAUAUUUAAGCAUUACAACAACAGCUACAUAUAACACAUAGUAGGACUAGGGAUGUGCACGAGUUUUCUUAUGAACUUGGUCAGCAGGUGAAUGUGCAGGUCUCCACGUGACAUUAUUACCGUGGGGUCAAGCUUUUUAUCAACAGCUGUUAUGCAGCUACAGUUAACACUUUGAGUCAAGCCACCAAACACAGCAUCAUAGACAAUUAUGGGUAAGUGGAGCAAAACACUGACUUUGUGGAACAUUUAUCAGACACAAAUUACUGUCUCACACACACAUCCAGGUGUUUACGGGAAAGCCGGAUAAAUCCAGGUGCUUCAGGAUUCAGCUUCUCCAGAGCAAAUAUGUUCAGUUCUCCUUUGGUGCUUUGCAGUUCAUUGAGUCUCUAGAUGCCCAUGUGUGUUUGUGUGUUUGAUUCUUUUCUUUUUUUGAAGACAAAACUGAGUUGUACUGUGUGUUGUGAUGCGUUCAUUCAUUGUGUGAUUCAUCAUAUUAUCUGUGUGAUUUAUUGUAGGUCGCACUCCAUUUUGAGCUCCCUGUUUCUGGUGAAGGCCCUAAUCCAAUACAGAAGUCUUGUUUUUACUGCCACACAGAAAAAAGGUUAACAAGACUAAACAUCUGUCUCUCAGCAUUGCAGAUCAUGAAUCACUCUUUUUCUGUCACAACCAUUCUAUUUAAACUUUCAUUUGUUAGAUGGAGCUAACAAAUGAUUCUGUCUGUGACUGCUGUGAUUCAGACUGCAACUAGACUAAAACCACACGAAUAACAUAUGAAGGGUUCGUAAGCAGUGAUCCUGUGACUUCUCCUUUCUCAACUUUGGCUUCCUCAACUCUGGACUCCACUCUCAUGGCUCAUAGAAAUGAGGACGUCAUGUGGUUUGAAGCCAAACUGGCCAGAGAGCCCCAGAGGUCCUACACCCACAAGGACUUUGUUGCUUCUGUUACACUGAUAUCUUCUGAGGAGGACCAUGAUAAGAGACCGCACACGUCUCAAAUCAGCACAGUGAAGCUCACAGAGGAGGAAAGAGAAGAGAAACAUGGGGAUGUUGAGAUUUUUAUUGCAAUCAGUAAGAGUAUUGUGGGAUCUGAAAGGCCAGAUUUAGACCCCAUGGAGCAGCUUGACGUUACAUCCUUGGGCUCGUCUGGAGACAGAAAAAUGCAGAACAUGAAUAAGGGUUCAGAUUACUCACUGAGGAAAGUUCAGAGAGUGGGAGGAGAAGUCCCUGAUAAGGACAAAAGGUUCCACAAAGACGUCAGUUAUGGUUAAUGAAUCCAUGGGGCAACAUUCCGAUAUGGAUGAAUCAACAUUGAGAGACUGGCAACUGGAUGAGGUGUUUCUGCCAUCCUUCAUUUUAGAGGAAAAGGAUACAGAAGAGGAAAAUUCUUCUGAAAAUAAAAGGGAAGGUUUGAAUUUCCAGUUAUUUUCACUGUUUGAAAAGAAACGAGAGUUUCCAGGAUCUGAUGAGCUGGUAGAGCAGGGUAUUGUGAGAAAAGUAGACCUUAAACAAGACACAAGAUAAUUAUUAUUUUUCUGAUGGAAUGGGAUUCUAUUUUAAGGACUUGUGAGAAAAUGUCUGUAUACUUUUGUUUGUUUUUUGAUGAAUCAACCAAAGAACCACGUAAUGCUUAAUAAUUAGAACCAGUACUGCAGGAAAUUAUUUUUCUUGUUAAUGCAUGGAUUGAAAUAUAUUAAAAGAGAUAUUAAAUUCCCUUUGUUA